GAUGAACGCUGGCGGCGUGCCUAAUACAUGCAAGUCGAGCGAACGGACGAGAAGCUUGCUUCUCUGAUGUUAGCGGCGGACGGGUGAGUAACACGUGGAUAACCUACCUAUAAGACUGGGAUAACUUCGGGAAACCGGAGCUAAUACCGGAUAAUAUUUUGAACCGCAUGGUUCAAAAGUGAAAGACGGUCUUGCUGUCACUUAUAGAUGGAUCCGCGCUGCAUUAGCUAGUUGGUAAGGUAACGGCUUACCAAGGCAACGAUGCAUAGCCGACCUGAGAGGGUGAUCGGCCACACUGGAACUGAGACACGGUCCAGACUCCUACGGGGGGCAGCAGUAGGGAAUCUUCCGCAAUGGGCGAAAGCCUGACGGAGCAACGCCGCGUGAGUGAUGUAGGUCUUCGGAUCGUAAAACUCUGUUAUUAGGGAAGAACAUAUGUGUAAGUAACUGUGCACAUCUUGACGGUACCUAAUCAGAAAGCCACGGCUAACUACGUG
RNAcentral lists this ribosomal RNA (497 nucleotides) under uncultured bacterium. RNAcentral describes it as "partial 16S ribosomal RNA". It matches the Rfam family "Bacterial small subunit ribosomal RNA", at positions 28 to 507 of the family's 1533-position model. The record is from RNAcentral.